RNAcentral lists this long non-coding RNA (484 nucleotides) under Citrus x clementina. Its description in RNAcentral is "Citrus clementina (C. clementina) long non-coding RNA (CCLE_LNC000299)". Lineage: Eukaryota; Viridiplantae; Streptophyta; Magnoliopsida; Sapindales; Rutaceae. The record is from RNAcentral.
CAUUAAAUAUAUUUUUUAUUAGUUUUGUAAUUAAAAACUAUAAUUCUUUAAAUAAGGAUAAAAUUGUAAUUUGAAACUAUUUACUCUCAAUCCAAGACAAAGUAAACACAUAAAUUAGAUUCUGAUCUCUAUUCCAUGCUUCAAUUCCAGUGUAAGUAAACAACCUACUCACACUCCCACUCCACACUCCCAAUCCUAGGAUUCUCACUCUUCAGGAUUCCCAAUCCAAUCCAAAAAGUAAACGCUACCUUAAUGAUUCAGGUGGUCACUCCAAGGUGAGGGCUUUUUCUUUCUAGUUGGAUUAGGAGUGUGGAGUGAGAGUGGGAGUGGGAUUAUGGUGUUUACUUAGACUAAAUGAAAGUAUGGAUUGUCAAUCAGAAUCCUAAUUAUUUGUUUACUUUGUCUUGGAUUGAGAGUAAAUUGUUUUAAAUUACAAUUUUAUCCUUAUGUACAGAAUUAUUAUUUGUAAUUAAAAAAUUAAUAA